UGGGGAAUCUUGCACAAUGGGGGAAACCCUGAUGCAGCGACGCCGCGUGAACGAUGAAGCCCUUCGGGGUGUAAAGUUCUUUCGACAGGAACGAUAAUGACGGUACCUGGAGAAGAAGCUGCGGCUAACUACGUGCCAGCAGCCGCGGUAAUACGUAGGCAGCAAGCGUUGUUCGGAGUUACUGGGCGUAAAGAGUGCGUAGGCGGUUUUCUAAGUUCGGUGUGAAAUCUCCCGGCUUAACUGGGAGGGUGCGCCGAAGACUGGGAAGCUGGAGUGUGGGAAAGGCAGGCGGAAUUCCUGGUGUAGCGGUGAAAUGCGUAGAUAUCAGGAGGAACACCGGCGGUGUAGACGGCUUGCUAGACCAUAACUGACGCUGAGGCACGAAAGCGUGGGUAGCAAACA
Molecule: ribosomal RNA, 402 nt
Filed under: uncultured bacterium
Lineage: Bacteria
Description: bacterial SSU rRNA
Rfam family: Bacterial small subunit ribosomal RNA
Source: RNAcentral